AUGCUCAUUGAUAAAGUUGCAGCAAAGCUUGCGGGCUGGAAGGGCAAAUUACUUAACAAGAAGGGGCGGCUGGCCCUUAUCAACUCUGUGUUAACCUCCUUGACAACAUACUAUCUGACCAUUUUUGCGCCAUCCAAAUGGGUUGUAAAGAGGAUUGACAAACUUCAAAGAAGCUUCUUGUGGAAAGGAGAAGAAGAGGCCAAAGGAGGCCAAUGUGCGGUCAAUUGGCAACAAGUCUGUUCCCCC
This 246-nucleotide ribosomal RNA is filed under the name Triticum aestivum (bread wheat). Its description in RNAcentral is "partial small subunit ribosomal RNA". Lineage: Eukaryota; Viridiplantae; Streptophyta; Magnoliopsida; Poales; Poaceae. The record is from RNAcentral.